RNAcentral lists this ribosomal RNA (468 nucleotides) under uncultured bacterium. RNAcentral's name for it is "partial 16S ribosomal RNA". It matches the Rfam family "Bacterial small subunit ribosomal RNA", at positions 28 to 507 of the family's 1533-position model. The record is from RNAcentral.
GACGAACGCUGGCGGCGCGCCUAACACAUGCAAGUCGAACGGAGCUGAGAGAAGCUUGCUUUUCUUAGCUUAGUGGCGAACGGGUGAGUAACGCGUGAGUAACCUGCCCUGGAGUGGGGGACAACAGUUGGAAACGACUGCUAAUACCGCAUAAGCCCACGAUCCGGCAUCGGAUUGAGGGAAAAGGAUUUAUUCGCUUCAGGAUGGACUCGCGUCCAAUUAGCUAGUUGGUGAGGUAACGGCCCACCAAGGCGACGAUUGGUAGCCGGACUGAGAGGUUGAACGGCCACAUUGGGACUGAGACACGGCCCAGACUCCUACGGGAGGCAGCAGUGGGGGAUAUUGCACAAUGGGGGAAACCCUGAUGCAGCGACGCCGCGUGGAUGAAGAAGGUUUUCGGAUUGUAAACUCCUGUCGUUAGGGACGAUAAUGACGGUACCUAACAAGAAAGCACCGGCUAACUACGUG